Ribosomal RNA from Danio rerio (zebrafish), 117 nucleotides. Lineage: Eukaryota; Metazoa; Chordata; Actinopteri; Cypriniformes; Danionidae. The record is from Ensembl.
AGCCACAGCCAUAUCACCCUGUAGCCCAAGAGAGGCUAACCACUGAAGCUAAGCAGGGCUGAGCCUGAUCAGUACCUGAAUGGGAGACCACAUGGGAAAACUAGGUUGCUGUUGGAA